UCCGUAGGCGGGUUAUUAAGUCAGUGGUGAAAGUUUGCAGCUUAACUGUAAAAUUGCCAUUGAUACUGGUAGCCUUGAAUUUUUGUGAAGUAACUAGAAUAUGUAGUGUAGCGGUGAAAUGCUUAGAUACUACAUGGAAUACCAAUUGCGAAGGCAGGUUACUAACAAACGAUUGACGCUGAUGGACGAAAGCGUGGGUAGCGAACA
This 207-nucleotide ribosomal RNA is filed under the name uncultured bacterium. Its description in RNAcentral is "partial 16S ribosomal RNA". It matches the Rfam family "Bacterial small subunit ribosomal RNA", at positions 568 to 774 of the family's 1533-position model. The record is from RNAcentral.